CCUCACUACAAUCUAGACGAACAUGUCAAUUUUUGAUAUAUCAAAUUCAGUUUGUGUUUAUUUCCGAAGAACAUAAUAUAAAACAAAUUUCAAAGUUCAAAACGAAGACUGCUCAACAAUUACUAUGGACUAUCAGGAGUAUUUCUAUAAGCUGACCAUAUUCCAUUCUCGUCUGCAGACCGAUUAUGGACUGUUGAUCAAGGCAGCGACUUGCAUUGCCUUUGGCGCAGUUUGCGGAUGGAUUAUGGCUUUAUUGGCAUGGAUACUCUAUAAGAUAACCAUCUACUUGGAUGCAGUGCCAGUGGUGAAGUACAAUUAUCUGGAUGAUGAUUUGGAUUUGGAGUCGGAGACUGGGUAUGAUGCUGACAUUGCUGGCCCCUUGAGGCAAUUGCAGCCCGAAGAUAACGACCGCUAAAAAAUGAAGCGUUUUGUCAUUGAUCUAUGAAGUGCUUGAUGAAUUUCAAGCAAAUUAACUCAAGAAAAGCGCAAGCAACGCAAGAAGAAACACAAUCCUUUGGCAUAGCUGCGAGAUCUCUAACAUAAACAUAAAUACAUUUAUUUUUGUCGAAUAAAACUUUAAUUAAAUUAAAUUGGAAUUUAA
RNA transcript from Drosophila nasuta, 601 nucleotides. RefSeq lists it as uncharacterized. Lineage: Eukaryota; Metazoa; Arthropoda; Insecta; Diptera; Drosophilidae. The transcript is spliced from 2 exons. The record is from RefSeq and is a predicted model, not a curated record.